CCUACGGGAGGCAGCAGUGAGGAAUAUUGGUCAAUGGGCGCGAGCCUGAACCAGCCAAGUAGCGUGAAGGAAGACUGCCCUACGGGUUGUAAACUUCUUUUAUAAAGGAAUAAAGUGAGGCACGUGUGCCUUUUUGUAUGUACUUUAUGAUUAAGGAUCGGCUAACUACGUGCCAGCAGCCGCGGUAAUACGGAGGUGCCGAGCGUUAUCCGGAUUUAUUGGGUUUAAAGGGAGCGUAGAUGGGUUGUUAAGUCAGUCGUGAAAGUUUGCGGCUCAACCGUAAGAUUGCAAUUGAUACUGGCAGUCUUGAGUACAGUUGAGGUAGGCGGAAUUCGUGGUGUAGCGGUGAAAUGCGUAGAUAUCACGAAGAACACCGGUUGCGAAGGCAGCUUACUAAACUGCAACUGACAUUGAGGCUCGAAAGUGUGGGUAGCAAACAGGAUUAGAUACCCGAGUAGUC
RNAcentral lists this ribosomal RNA (460 nucleotides) under uncultured bacterium. RNAcentral's name for it is "partial 16S ribosomal RNA". It matches the Rfam family "Bacterial small subunit ribosomal RNA", at positions 338 to 795 of the family's 1533-position model. The record is from RNAcentral.